GUAGGGAGCAAGCGUUAUCCGGAUUUAUUGGGUGUAAAGGGUGCGUAGACGGGAAAUUAAGUUAGUUGUGAAAGCCCUCGGCUUAACUGAGGAAUUGCAACUAAAACUGGUUUUCUUGAGUGCAGGAGAGGUAAGUGGAAUUCCUAGUGUAGCGGUGAAAUGCGUAGAUAUUAGGAGGAACACCAGUGGCGAAGGCGACUUACUGGACUGCAACUGACGUUGAGGCACGAAAGUGUGGGGAGCAAACAGGAUUAGAUACCCUGGUAGUCCACACCGUAAACGAUGGAUACUAGGUGUAGGGUGUAUUAAACAUUCUGUGCCGUCGCAAACGCAGUAAGUAUCCCACCUGGGGAGUACGGCCGCAAGGUUG
RNAcentral lists this ribosomal RNA (370 nucleotides) under uncultured bacterium. RNAcentral describes it as "bacterial SSU rRNA". It matches the Rfam family "Bacterial small subunit ribosomal RNA", at positions 527 to 896 of the family's 1533-position model. The record is from RNAcentral.